GCUGCCCUCUUCACGAGGGUCAGUGUGUUCCGAGGUCUCUUUUCAGCGCCGACCAUCCUUUCCGGAAAGGCGCGUCUACCCUUUAUUGGGCCGGGCGCGUACUUAAACUUUCUGGAUCAUUUACUUUGAAAAAAUUAGAGUGUUUCAAGCAGGCUUUAUGCUAUGAAUACAUUAGCAUGGAAUAAUAAUUUAGGACUUCGGUUCUAUUUUGUUGGUUUCUAGGACUGAAGUAAUGAUUGAUAGGGAUAGUUGGGGGUGCUAGUAUUCAGCGGCCAGAGGUGAAAUUCUCGGAUUCGCUGAAGACUAACUUAUGCGAAAGCAUU
This 323-nucleotide ribosomal RNA is filed under the name Cercozoa sp. RNAcentral describes it as "SSU rRNA". The stretch from base 102 to 323 matches the Rfam family "Eukaryotic small subunit ribosomal RNA", at positions 733 to 955 of the family's 1831-position model. The record is from RNAcentral. Lineage: Eukaryota; Cercozoa.